This is a long non-coding RNA of Onychostoma macrolepis, 1041 nucleotides long. RefSeq lists it as uncharacterized. The transcript has 5 exons. The record is from RefSeq and is a predicted model, not a curated record. Lineage: Eukaryota; Metazoa; Chordata; Actinopteri; Cypriniformes; Cyprinidae.
UUUAAAAUGCUUGCUUUUUGCGUUUUAAACUCUCCCGGCUAUUCGAAGUGUUUUAUUGCUAAAAAUAUAUGGAUUUUAGAUAACUUCAAGACACGUACAGCUAAAAAGGAAGACCAAAGGAAGGCCUGUCGAACUCUUGUCUUGUCUUGUUUGUGGAGAGGGAUGAAUCUGGCCAUCUUGUGUGUUUAUGGAGAAGACCAAAAGCUGCAAAGGCAAACAUUUCCAAUGGUAAAAACAGAGAGUUCGCAUGAUGGCCUUUUUCAGUUUUGUCAACUGAACGGCUACUAGUGAGGGUCAGCGAGUUCUUGUCAUGAUGAGCCCUCGCCAGAUAAGCCAAAAUGGAAGACCAAAAACACAAAGAAAAUCAAUCACAGCAAGCCAGUCAAAGCAGUCCUGUUGGGAAUGAACAUGGUCUUCUUGUGCCCAAACAGAGAAGACGGAGAACUGAAAAUCUGCACAUUUCCAUUGGAGGAUGAAGCCAGUUGAUGAAGAUAUCAAUUCAGUGGCCACCAAGUACUGCACUGCUGCCUGAACCCAUCAGAUAUCUGCUGUGAAGACUGCAUUCAAGAACAGCUCUACUGCGACAGCUCAGAUGUUACGGCACAUAAAAGAAACUUACCAACUGAACAACUGCAAGAUAGUGAUAGCCCAUAGUGAUAGCCCAUACCUCCAACAACAUUCAACAGGAAUCAAUGGAAAGUCCAGUGCAACAAUUAUAAAUUGUCUGUACCUUGUCUUACUGAAUGACACAUUGGCGUAAUACUGUAAUAGAACAAUAAAUUAAUUAUGAAUAACAGUUAAAAUAGGCAAGGAAAAGCUGACAGAGAGAGAGAGAGAGAGUGGGCUGUUGAUAAACAGCUGCUGGACACUAAAGGUUGUUGUAGGAGAUGGAGAUGUAUGUGAUCUGAAGAAACUGAAAGACAAAAAAAUAUUGAAUUACAUUUUUUUUUACAUAAAAGUAUUAAAGGCAUGGCAAGUUAUGUGAUUAACUACAAAUACCACAUUAAAACUACGUUACUGUGGUAAAAACAUGGUAAAUGU